AUGGGGAACUCUAAGAUCAAGCCAUCAACCAAUUUGGUGCCUGGCUCAUUCCCUGCUUCCAAGAUGGUGCCUGGUGGCCCGCACAGUGGAAAGGCCAACAGGGCCAGUUUGCAGGAGUUUCAUGACGGUGGAAUUACAGAGCACCUGCUGUGUGUCUUCGCCAUCAAUGCCUCCCUCCUACGCAGACUCAGCCUGCAAGCGGACCUACCUAACUGUCCUCACCACGCGAAAAUGAUGGUGCUGUCAUGUUCUACAUAUCUGAGAGGCAAAAGAAAGAGCUCCUUUUCAUUAAAAAAAUUAUGAUUCAAAGGUUCUGUCCUUCCCACACUGUCCAUUGAAGACCUUAGGCUCAGUUUAAAUAUCAUGCCCCACUUAUCCCACAUGUUCUCAAGUUUUCUUUCCUUCAAUAUUUUUGUUAUCCUAAUUAUCCCUCUCAUCAUUAUCAUUCAGCUUCACUGAUGAAAAAUAGACUUUAGAAAGUCUGGCAAAAUGGAAAGAGAAUGAGCUUGGACAGAAAUGUAGCAAAUUACAGUUUCAAAAUAAACUUUUUUUAUCUAGGCAAAGAAGUCAGUCUCUAAUGAUAAGAGGGGUAAAUCAAUUUUAUUAAUCUUCUUAGACAUGUAACCCAACCUUUUAACCUUGUGGAUUUCCUCUAGAAUUGUCUCUUCUCCCUUGCCAUUCCUGCUCUCCGUUUUAGUGUUUCCUUCUUUCUAUUCUUGCUGAGUUUAAUGUGUGGGUUCUUCUUAGUUUCAUGAGUUCCAAGGUUUUAGGAUGCAGUGAGAUAGUGGGGAACUUUGAAAAUCUUUGUGGUCUCCAAAAUAGCAGAAUUCCCUGCUCACAACAAG
RNAcentral lists this long non-coding RNA (845 nucleotides) under Chinchilla lanigera (long-tailed chinchilla). Its description in RNAcentral is "lncRNA (ENSCLAG00000023141.1)". Lineage: Eukaryota; Metazoa; Chordata; Mammalia; Rodentia; Chinchillidae. The record is from RNAcentral.